RNAcentral lists this ribosomal RNA (301 nucleotides) under uncultured bacterium. Its description in RNAcentral is "partial 16S ribosomal RNA". It matches the Rfam family "Bacterial small subunit ribosomal RNA", at positions 509 to 809 of the family's 1533-position model. The record is from RNAcentral.
CAGCCGCCGCGGGAAUACAGAGGGUGCAAGCGUUAAUCGGAAUUACUGGGCGUAAAGCGCGCGUAGGUGGUUUGUUAAGUUGGAUGUGAAAGCCCCGGGCUCAACCUGGGAACUGCAUCCGAAACUGGCAAGCUAGAGUACGGUAGAGGGUGGUGGAAUUUCCUGUGUAGCGGUGAAAUGCGUAGAUAUAGGAAGGAACACCAGUGGCGAAGGCGACCACCUGGACUGAUACUGACACUGAGGUGCGAAAGCGUGGGGAGCAAACAGGAUUAGAUACCCGAGUAGUCCCUGUCUCUUAUAA